This 788-nucleotide ribosomal RNA is filed under the name uncultured Fidelibacterota bacterium. Its description in RNAcentral is "SSU rRNA". It matches the Rfam family "Bacterial small subunit ribosomal RNA", at positions 88 to 859 of the family's 1533-position model. Lineage: Bacteria; Pseudomonadati; Fidelibacterota. The record is from RNAcentral.
UAUUAAACUGGCGAACGGGUGAGUAACACGUAGGUAACCUGCCUUGAAGAUUGGGAUAACUCCGGGAAACCGGAGCUAAUACCGAAUAAUGCAGCGAAUCCAUAGGGAUAUGUUGUUAAAGCGGGCUUCGGCUCGCACUUCGAGAUGGGCCUGCGGCCGAUUAGCUUGUUGGUGAGGUAAUGGCUCACCAAGGCGAUGAUCGGUAGCUGGUCUGAGAGGAUGAUCAGCCACACUGGGAUUGAGAUACGGCCCAGACUCCUACGGGAGGCAGCAGUGGGGAAUUUUGCGCAAUGGACGAAAGUCUGACGCAGCAACGCCGCGUGAUUGAUGAAGCUUUUAGGAGUGUAAAGAUCUGUCGUGAGGGAAGAAAAACCUGGAUGUAAAUAAUGUUCAGGCGUGACGGUACCUCACAAGAAAGCACCGGCUAACUUCGUGCCAGCAGCCGCGGUAAUACGAGGGGUGCUAGCGUUGUCCGGAAUUACUGGGCGUAAAGGGUCCGUAGGCGUCUUGACAAGUUGAUCGUUAAAUCCACCGGCUUAACCGGUGAUCUGCGGUCAAAACUUGCAGGAUAGAAUAUGUGAGAGGAAAGUAGAAUUCCUGGUGUAGCGGUGACAUGCGUAGAUAUCAGGAGGAACACCAAUGGCGAAGGCAGCUUUCUGGCACAAUAUUGACGCUGAGGGACGAAAGCGUGGGGAGCGAACAGGAUUAGAUACCCUGGUAGUCCACGCCGUAAACGAUGAGUACUUGGUGGUGGGAGAUUCGACCCUCUCACUAUCGGAGCUAACGCG